Equus quagga is the source of this 841-nucleotide long non-coding RNA. RefSeq lists it as uncharacterized. NCBI's taxonomy places the organism in Eukaryota, Metazoa, Chordata, Mammalia, Perissodactyla, Equidae. The record is from RefSeq and is a predicted model, not a curated record. The transcript is spliced from 3 exons.
CCAAAGGUAUCCACAUCCUAGUCCCUGAAACCUGUGAAUAUGUUGCCUUAUAUAUCAAAAGAGACUUUGCAGAUGUGAUUAAGUUAAAGAUCUUGAGAUGGGGAUUAUUUAGGUGGGCCCAAUGUAAUCACAAGGGUCCUGAAGAGGAACGCAGGAGUGUCCAAAUCAGAGAAGAAGACGGUGGCAAUGGAUACAGAGAUCAGAGUGAUGCAGCUACAAGACAAUGAAUGCAGCCAGCCUCUAGAAGCUAAAAGAGGCAAGGAACAGAUUCUCUCCCCUGGGCCUCCAGAAGGAAUGCAGCCCUGCUGACUCAUUUUAGAUUUCUGACCUCUAGAACUUUAAGAUAAUAAAUUUAUGUUGUUUUAAGCCACCGAAUUUGUGGUAAUUGGAUACCGUGGCAAUAGGUAAUACACUUCCUGUGACCCUUUUGCCCUCAGAACCUCAGACUGAGGGAGUGAGAGUGCAUUGUGUCCACCUCCUUCUUGCAGGUACGGAAACUGAGACCCAAAGAAGAGGAACAACUCGUGCAAAGCGUGCAGUGAGUAGUCAGUGGCUGCACUGAGUCAUCACCUCGUGUUCCUGACUGCCCUUCAGUUCUGGGAAGCAGUACGAUUAUGAUCCCCGUUUUCCAGAUGAGGAAACUGAGGCUUGGAGAGUUGAAGCCCAGUUGCCCAUGGCUUCACAUCAGCAAAUGAUGGACCCAGGAUUGGAUGGCCCUAACAACAAAAGGUUAUCUGCCUCCCCCACUAUGCCCUGGACACAGCUGAACCAAGACCCCUCCUUCUGUGGGUUGUUUCCUCAGCCGUUGCCAGCUCUGCCCCCGCGGCCUUGGGAGCCUGUG